UUCAAUGUAUGCCAAUGAAUGUAUUGAUCACGUUCGAGAAGCUUCAUCAUAUGUUGCAUUUCGGUAUCAGCUCCUCUUAUUGAAGAACGAUAUGCACUUCUUGCAUUGUAAAUUUGCUUUAUCGUGGUGCAACUGUUGGCAUUGUGUUCCUUCAACGUUAGCAAGAUGUUUUUUGGUUUCACCAUCGACUUUGUCAUAUCAGCAAUAAUUUUCUUUUCAUCCUUAGUCAAUCGCCCAGCGUAUGGAUGUCCAACUAAGGACUUGGCCAAUUCAUGAUUGUGAAUCCCACAGAUCAACUUCACCAUCCAACCUCCCCUUCCAUGCACUGGUUUCCCACGAAGCCUGAAGGAACAACCACAUUUCCUACUCCCAGUGUCUUUUC
This 382-nucleotide long non-coding RNA is filed under the name Glycine max (soybean). RNAcentral's name for it is "long non-coding RNA (GMAX_LNC000031)". Lineage: Eukaryota; Viridiplantae; Streptophyta; Magnoliopsida; Fabales; Fabaceae. The record is from RNAcentral.